This 19-nucleotide microRNA is filed under the name Shrimp white spot syndrome virus. RNAcentral describes it as "microRNA R74". The record is from RNAcentral. Lineage: Naldaviricetes; Nimaviridae.
CCAGAAAUGGCUGUCCAGA